ACAGGGAAAUAAGCAGUGAGCAGCAGCCUCCCUUGUGUUUAGAGAUCCCUAAUGUAAUGCAUCGCCUCAUGUUUAGCCCUUCUUUCUGCGGCUAAUAACACCCUCUGUGACAUGACAAUGGUUUUGUAAUUUGUUAAAUGGUAUAUAAAGUGUAGCACUGGGGAGGCUAGGGACGGCGCACAGGUUAUUGUAGUCCUGGGAAGACAUGGAUAUAUGUCGGGAAUGAGAAGAAAACCGACACCAUUGUCGGCACUCUGGGCUUCUGCAGGGACUGGCUGGCAUUGUCGCUAAAGCCAGCCCUGCAUUCUUGCUGUGUUCAAGAGGCUUUUCAGUGAUUUCUGUUGAGAGGGAAAGCCUUUUUUAACUU
RNAcentral lists this long non-coding RNA (367 nucleotides) under Mus musculus (house mouse). RNAcentral's name for it is "long non-coding RNA chr5:118618905-118619272". Lineage: Eukaryota; Metazoa; Chordata; Mammalia; Rodentia; Muridae. The record is from RNAcentral.